This 402-nucleotide ribosomal RNA is filed under the name Arthrobacter sp. RNAcentral describes it as "bacterial SSU rRNA". It matches the Rfam family "Bacterial small subunit ribosomal RNA", at positions 56 to 458 of the family's 1533-position model. Lineage: Bacteria; Bacillati; Actinomycetota; Actinomycetes; Micrococcales; Micrococcaceae. The record is from RNAcentral.
AGCAGUCGAACGAUGAAGCGGUGCUUGCACCGUGGAUUAGUGGCGAACGGGUGAGUAACACGUGAGUAACCUGCCCUUGACUCUGGGAUAAGCCUGGGAAACUGGGUCUAAUACCGGAUAUGACCGCUCCACGCAUGUGGUGGUGGUGGAAAGCUUUUGUGGUUUUGGAUGGACUCGCGGCCUAUCAGCUUGUUGGUGGGGUAAUGGCCUACCAAGGCGACGACGGGUAGCCGGCCUGAGAGGGUGACCGGCCACACUGGGACUGAGACACGGCCCAGACUCCUACGGGAGGCAGCAGUGGGGAAUAUUGCACAAUGGGCGCAAGCCUGAUGCAGCGACGCCGCGUGAGGGAUGACGGCCUUCGGGUUGUAAACCUCUUUCAGUAGGGAAGAAGCUAACGUG